Molecule: long non-coding RNA, 4435 nt
Filed under: Homo sapiens (human)
Lineage: Eukaryota; Metazoa; Chordata; Mammalia; Primates; Hominidae
Description: HSALNT0330377
Source: RNAcentral
AGUGGAUGUCGUUUUUUUUCUAAAGAAUUGCUUUGGGCGGAGUUGAACCGUCCCUGGAUUGGGACUUCUGAGAUCUGAGAUUUUAUCCUGGCCCUGCCCCCUUACCAUCUCUGCAGCAGUGACUUCCAGCUUCGUGGGCCUCAGUUUCUCUAUUGUAAAAUGAAGGAGCAGUGUAUGACAGCAGUUUCAAACUUCAGUGUACAUUCGAUUCAAUACUUACUGACCUCGUACUGUGGGGGCCUUGCAGGGUUCUAGGAAACGGGUUUGGUAUAAACUAGGCUAACAAAGUCCCUAUCCUCAUGGAAUUUAUUCUAAGGUGGGGAAAGAGACAAUAAACAAGUAAUAAAUUAUUGUCUAGUAUCUAUGAAGACAAUAGUUAAACUGUGGUAAUCAGUUAGACUAGAUGGGCUACUUUUGUUUGGGUGAUAAGGGAAGACUUCUUUGAACGCAGAUGCCAAAGUAUUAGGAAUCAGGCUCGGUCUGGGACUGGACCCAGAAAUCUGCGUGUCUAGCAAGAUCCCUUUGGUGCUUAUGACUUCACUUGGAGAAGUCCUGGCUUCUGACUGGCUGUGAUCCCACGUGCUCACAUAACAUAACAGCCUGGAAUGUUGGCCAUCUCCAAAACAAGAAUUAGAGCACACGACCUGCUGGAUCUAGGAGAAGACUGAAUGAAAAGCCUCUUGGAACUGCCCCAGCCAGCAAAGCUGAGCUGUAGGAUUGUUGUAACCAGUAUGGGGGAGAAGUACUGGUAGGGAUAGCCAGAUGAAGAAACCAAAGUUCAGAAAAGUGAAGUCCAAGGCCGGGCACAGUGGCUCAAACCUGUAAUCCCGGCACUUUGGGAGGCUGAGGCAGGCAGAUCACCUGAGGUCAUGAGUUCAAGACCAGCCUGGCCAACAUGGCGAAACACUGUCUGUACUAAAAAUACAAAAAUUAGCUGGGCAUGGUGGCGCACACCUGUAAUCCAAGCUACUCAGGAGGCUGAGGCAUGAAAAUUGCUUGAACCCAGGUGGCGGAGGUUGCAGUAAGCCGAGAUCACCCCACUGCACUCCAUCCUAGGUGACAGAGCAAAACUCCAUCUCAAAAAAAGAAAAGAAAAGAAAAAGGAAGAAAAAGAAAAGUAAAGUUCCUUAUCCAAAGUCACACAGCAGAGCCAGACAGAGCUAGGUCUCAUACCUGAAUCUCUUUAUCCUAAAUCCAGUAGUUUUUUCUACAUUAAAAUAAUGAAACUGGGGCUGGGCAUAGUGACUCACACCUGUAAUCCUAACACUUUGAAAGGCCAAAGCAGGAGGAUCACUUGAACCUAGGAGUUAGAGAUCAGCCUGGACAACACAGUGAGACCCUGUCUCUAUUUUUUUUAAGUUUUAAUAAAAAAAUGAUGGAAUUGGGAUUUGAAUUCAGGUUUUUUUGAUUCCUAACCAACUAUGGUAUUUUAUAUGCAUAUAUUUCUAAAUACAGUCAUCCUCCCUUAUCCCAGUGCAUGCCUGAAACCCCAAAUAGUACCAAACUCUAUAUAUACUAUGUUUUUCCUAUAUAUACUUACCUAUAAUAAAGUUUAAUAUAUAAAUUAGGCACAGUAAGAGAUAAACAACAAUAAAUAAUAAAAUAGAACAAUUAUAACCAUAGACAGUAAUAAAAUUUAUGUGACUGUGCUCUUUCUCUCUCAAAACAUCUUAUUGUAUGUAAUAUUUUCUGACCACAGUUGGCCACAGGUAACUGAAACAUCAGGAAGCAAAACCACAGAUAAGAGGGGACUAGUAAUGACCAAAUAGUCAGUAAUGACCAUUUAGUAAUGACCAAAUAGUCAGGAGUAAUGACCAAAUAGUCAGGAGUAGCUACUUUUAUUGGGUAACUAGUGUACGCUAGGUUCUAUGGGAAAUACUUGAUAUUCAUUAUCUCAUUUAAUCUUCAUAAUAACCCAGUGGGAUAGUUAUUAUUUCCUUAAAUGUCUACUGAGCCCCUACUAUGUGCCAGGCACUACAGGCUAGGUCCUGGAAUGGUUAUUGUCUUCAAAUUACAAAGGAAGGCAAUUGAAAUUCAGAAAAGAAAGUAAGGUGGGUACUCAGCAUCAUAGGCAGCAGCUAACUAUCAGAGUGGGGUUUUUCAGGGUGUUCUAUAUCGCCAGGCCUUAUUCUUACUCACUGCACCACUCUGUACAGCCUACUUCUCUUCCCUCCAUUGCCAUAUCCAUAAGUAUUUAUGGAGAAUCCCUCAAAUACUUAGGCCUCAGGAAGAUACCAAACAAGUUGAAUCCUAUCUUUCUAAAGGGUAAACUCUAAUUAGAGGAACCAAAUAAUUGAGCAAUAUUUAACCUGUGGCCAAAAAAAAAGAGAGGCCAAAAAAAGAGACAAAAUAUGCUUUAGGCAGAAAGUGACAAGGAUCAGGCUAACUUGUGCCUAGAGUUUAAACACAUCAUGUGCUUAAACACUAGGCCAGGUGCUAUGGCUCACACCUGUAAUCCCGGCACUUUGGGAGGCCAAGGUGGGAGAAUUGCUUGAGCCCGGGAAUUUGAGACCCACCUGGGCAACACAGUGAGACCCUGUCUCUACAAAUAAAUAAAUAAAUAAAUUAGCCAGGUGUGGUGGCACAUUCCUGUAGUCCCAGCUACUCAGGAGGCUGAGGUGGAAGGAUUGCUUGAGCCUGGGAGGUGGAGGCUGCAGUGAGCUGUGAUUGCAUCACUGCACCCUAGCCUGGGCAACAAAGUGAGACGAGACCUUGUCUCAAAAAAUAAAACUCACCAAAUUAAUAAAAUGGGUCCAAAUACCUAUUUGGGCUGGGCAUGGUGGCUCACACCUGUAAUCCCAACACUUUGGGAGGCCGAGGCAUGUGGACCUCUUGAGCCCAGGAGUUCAAGAUCAGUCUGGGCAACAUGACAAAACACCAUCUCUACAAAAUAAUACAAAGCAUUAUCCGGGCAUGGUGGCACACACCUGUAGUCCCAGCUGCUGGGGAGGUUGAGGUGGGAAGAUCACCUGAGAGUGGGAAGUUGAGACUGCAGUGAGCCAUGAUUGCACCACUGCACCCCAGCCUGGGGAACAGAGUGAGACCCUCACCUGAGAGUGGGAAGUUGAGACUGCAGUGAGCCAUGAUUGCACCACUGCACCCCAGCCUGGGGAAUAGAGUGAGACCCCGUCUCAAAAACAAAACAAAACAAAACAAAAACCUAUUUGUAAUUAAUUAUGUGCUUGUUUGCUCCUUGUGCUGACAACUUCCUAAAGAGAGACACAGCAGGCUGCAUGAGAGACUAGAGAGCUGGGAGAAUUGGUUUAUAACCUGGGUCCCAUCUCCGAGUUUGCUGAAUGACUUUGGGCAGCCUCCUGAGCCUUCCAUCCAUGAAACAGGAAGCAUACCUGCCCAUCUGGCUUACAGGCAGGAAGAAAAUACAAAGUUUACAUGAAAUUUUAUUCUAUUGGAGGGGGAGCAGUGAAUAGGUAAAGGAAGGAGGAAUGGUUCCUUGAGUUAUCUGUGCUUAUUAUGAAGGAAAAUUUAAUAUGCCUGGAUAUGUGCUAGUUUUAUUCCUCCUUGGAUUGGGUUUUCCAAAGAGCCUUGUGUUCCUGGAAGAGCUUGCACUAAUCACUUACUUCUGCUAUGGGGCCCCUUGGGUAUGAAGACUCUUAUACUGACACAAAGUGAGUGGGGUUAGCAAAGGGAGGGGCCUUGGCCAAAAAAAACAGUGCCAGCUGAGGAGUGUUUUUCAAGACCCUGAAGACUCUUGGGCCUUCUGGCACAUGUCACGUAAUUAUUUCAGUUCUUGGGAAGAGGCUCAGCCAGGAUCUCCUCCUGUGAAGGAGAUGUAAAUGGCAAUAGCUAACAUACAAGGAGGAGGUGGGGUGGGGACUGACUGUUUCCACAAUUCCUCGUUUAACCCCCAGGCCGAUCCUUUUCCAUGACUAUCCCCACUUUACAGAUGAGAAAGGAGGCUCAGAGGAAGAGGGGUGGUCAAGGAGGAGGACGGUUUGCAGUGAAGAAGGUCUGAUAAAUAACUUUUAACACACUCACCCCUCUGAGUCGGAAACAAGCACCAUCCCAGCCUCUUCUCAUCAGUUCUACCUAUGCAGCCUCUUCUCCCAUCCCCACUACCCUCCCUGGAGUUUUGUACUUCCCAAGUUGUCCCGUGAUGGGCUUCCUCACUAACUGUACUCCCACUGUGAUCCAGUCUACCACACUUGCCUGUGUCAGCUCUCUGGCUCUAUGAUGGACUCAGGCCCUGCCUCUACUUUGAAUCUCCACAUUCACACCCAGCACAGCCUGACCCUAACUAACCUUCCUGUCUUACUGCCUUCCAGCACAGACCCUACACUCCAGCAACAGUGGACCAAUCACUUCUUUAACUCAGUAAAUAUGUAUUGAGCAUCUGCAAUGCACCAGAUACUGCUAGGCCCUAGACAUAGAAAAGUGAGCAAAACAGACAUGUUCCCUACUUCCCAGAAGUUUCCCA